AGCUGCUCCUCGUAGGACUUGUUCUCCAGGCCCCUCACCAGCUUCGUCGCCCUUCUCUGGACCCGAAGACAUACCUAUGUCUUGUUUUGACAAGACAUACCUUGUCAAACUCUCACUGGGAUCCAGCCAAGCUGCUUCUGCAACCAAUGCUGAUACCACGGGGCAGGUCUGGGCAUACGGUACCAUCUCAGCUGAUGUACAGCAAAACACCUCCACCAAAAAAACAUCUCACCUGAUGAAAAACCUGGAAGUCUGCCUCUGGGGAAGAGGUCUCUGGCUUUAUCCUGCAGACCUUUUUGCUGGCCAACAGGACAAUAGGGGUGCACUUUAACAUCCCCCAUCUUCCCACCAGCCCACUGGUUUUCACGUCUACAAUGUAUUAAUUUCCAUCUGAGCUAGCCACUGUUUUCAACCUUUAUGGUCAGUGGAGAGAAUUAGGCUGCUUUUAGGAUGCAAUUCAUUUGACCUUUCUUAGACAUCUACUUUAGGAAGAGAUAAAUCACUCCCCCAAGUGUCUGUGUUUCUCUGUCGACCACAAAAUGGCCUGAGGGUGGUUAGUUCAGCGUCAGGUAUCAAUAGUGUAGGCGGUCUACAUAUAAUUAGGUGAAUCCCAAUCUGGUUUGCUACAGUGCUGCUGUUGCAAUGACUGCUGAAGUGCUCUACAAAGAGUUUUAUUCACAUAUCUUGAGCAUGUAAAAAUAUCGUGGGUUUUGUCCUUUUACAGUCUUUGUUUCAGAAGCAUCGUGCUAGCAGGGUCUGUGUUUUGUGCUGAAGUUGGUCUGACAAUUCUGUUCAGGAUUGUCUUCAGUUACCCACCAAGAAAUCAUCAAUUUCUGCACUUUUUCACCCAAUGUCUUUCACCAAAUAUUAGUCUGAUUUAAUUUAAAGGUAGAGGAAAGGCACGAUGUACAACAAGGAAAUGAAUACAACAUUAGGAACAUCUCUCAUCACUGCAUACAGUUGAAAGCAAAGUUGGAUACGCAUACAUUUUUGUUUUUAUUUGAUCACAGGGCAAUAUUUUAAAUAAUAUUAGAAAUGAGAAAUCUAUAGUGGUGAGAGUCACUGUAAUGCCAUAAGCACACUAAGCCAGUGUACAGUACAUCUCAGAAAAGGCCCAAGGCUCAGAUGUCUAUCUCUGUGUUCUUGUAUUCCCAACAAGCAGUGAAUAAUGCAUUAGUUUUGCUUCAAGCAUCCUAUUUUGAAUAUGCUUUAGCCAGAAUUAUUAGCUUUCAUGUAGUGUAUAUUGUUAACAGGGGUCAUGCUCAGUGCCCACCUAGUGCUGUCUCCAGACGGGCCCUGGUAAGGAACACAGAAAGAUUUCAAUAAAAAUUUCUCCUUGCUGGUUGUCCCUACUGGGAUCCCCCAGGAUUUCCAGAUGAUAAGGCUAGGGCCAGCUGAAGGUGGUGGUGGAAAUCUCCCUACAAGCCCCAUGGUUCAUUGGCUGAGGCCCAACAUAUUUAACAAAGCAGAAGGAGGCAACCAUUUCUGUUGCGUUAACAUGGGAGGACUUGCACUUUCUCUCCAUAGAGACCCAUCCCAGGACCAGCCACCCCAAGACACCCCACUGGGUGUGUGUUGAGCUGCGUUGGGAAGAGCUGGAGCCAUCUGUGCAGCAACAAGUAACCCCCCAGAGCUGUCCUGCAGCUGGAUAAGGGGAGGAUAGCCUGAAAAGAGCCUUCCCUAAACUCAUCUUGGUGAGGGCCACCAGUGCCCAGGACGGAUGAUGGCCAUGGUCAUCUGCUGAGCAGACUUCAAGAGUUGAGGGAAGAGCUGCCAAACGCAGCCCCGGGCUGAGAAGCUGCCCCUGGCUGUUGUUAAGCUGUUGUGCUUUCUCCUCCUGCAGCCGGGGUGGUCUAUAAAAAGUGAAUUAGCUUGCAAGGAGCUAUUAAGAGCAUGCCAUUUGAGAUACAGGGUAUAAUUUGCAAAAGAGUAGGUGUUUACACAUACACGUAUCCACACGCACAUCCCGUAUUUAAGUUUCCACAGCUACCGCUGGAGCAAGCAGCCAGCUGCUAAAUCCAAAAUAGCAACGAGAGCACAUCAUCCGCCCUCUGUAUUACCAUUUGAAAGGGACAGUUCCUUGGGAGGAUGGGAAUUUGACAGGAUAUGAAUAUGUCUGAGACUCUAUUAGGCACUAAUUCAGCAGGACUGGCUGAAUGAGAUGAAGAAGCAAUGAGGAGGAGAGAAUCUCUUCAAAUCUGAGCUGAUUGGUAAUUUUGAU
Non-coding RNA from Anas platyrhynchos (mallard), 2221 nucleotides. Lineage: Eukaryota; Metazoa; Chordata; Aves; Anseriformes; Anatidae. The record is from RefSeq and is a predicted model, not a curated record.